RNAcentral lists this long non-coding RNA (363 nucleotides) under Malus domestica (apple). RNAcentral describes it as "long non-coding RNA (MDOM_LNC005913)". The record is from RNAcentral. Lineage: Eukaryota; Viridiplantae; Streptophyta; Magnoliopsida; Rosales; Rosaceae.
CCUUUUUUUUUCAUAUUAUUUUUUCCUCAUAUACAAAAUAGAUAAAUAAGUAUCUUUUUGUUUUUGUUUUUAUUAUUUUUUUAGAAUAGAUAAGCAUUUUUUUUGGAUAUUCUCAUGACAACCCACGAAAUAAAAAAGAUAAAACAUCUUUUUGUUUUUAUUGUAUUUUAACUUUAUAUUAUUCUUUUCUUAAAAAAACAUUAUAUUAUUCUCAUUUCUCUUUUUUAAGACUAUGUAUCCCACUCAAAUUUUACUCUCAUAUACAUAUAAAUAGACACUUACUUAAUACUCUAGGGCUCCGUUUGGUGAGCUGGACGUGAUUGAGUCUUAGGGAUAUGAUUGAGUUAGCAGGAACUUGUAACC